This 174-nucleotide ribosomal RNA is filed under the name uncultured bacterium. RNAcentral describes it as "partial 16S ribosomal RNA". It matches the Rfam family "Bacterial small subunit ribosomal RNA", at positions 1329 to 1500 of the family's 1533-position model. The record is from RNAcentral.
GAAUCGCUAGUAAUCGCGGAUCAGCAUGCCGCGGUGAAUACGUUCCCGGGCCUUGUACACACCGCCCGUCACACCAUGAGAGUUGGCAAUACCCAACGUACGUGAUCUAACCCGCAAGGGAGGAAGCGUCCUAAGGUAGGGUCAGCGAUUGGGGUGAAGUCGUAACAAGGUAGC